This 253-nucleotide ribosomal RNA is filed under the name uncultured bacterium. RNAcentral's name for it is "partial 16S ribosomal RNA". It matches the Rfam family "Bacterial small subunit ribosomal RNA", at positions 524 to 776 of the family's 1533-position model. The record is from RNAcentral.
GACGUAGGGCGCGAGCGUUGUCCGGAUUUAUUGGGCGUAAAGAGCUCGUAGGCGGUCUGUCGCGUCUGCUGUGAAAACCUGGGGCUUAACCCCGGGCCUGCAGUGGGUACGGGCAGACUAGAGUGCGGUAGGGGAGACUGGAAUUCCUGGUGUAGCGGUGAAAUGCGCAGAUAUCAGGAGGAACACCGGUGGCGAAGGCGGGUCUCUGGGCCGUAACUGACGCUGAGGAGCGAAAGCAUGGGGAGCGAACAGG